UACGUAGGGGGCAAGCGUUGUCCGGAUUUACUGGGCGUAAAGAGCGUGUAGGCGGCCAUGCAGGUCCGUUGUGAAAACUGGAGGCUUAACCUCCAGACGUCGACGGAAACCGCGUGGCUAGAGUCCGGAAGAGGAGAGUGGAAUUCCUGGUGUAGCGGUGAAAUGCGCAGAUAUCAGGAAGAACACCUAUGGCGAAGGCAGCACUCUGGGACGGUACUGACGCUGAGACGCGAAAGCGUGGGGAGCGAACAGG
RNAcentral lists this ribosomal RNA (253 nucleotides) under uncultured bacterium. Its description in RNAcentral is "partial 16S ribosomal RNA". It matches the Rfam family "Bacterial small subunit ribosomal RNA", at positions 524 to 776 of the family's 1533-position model. The record is from RNAcentral.